This 324-nucleotide ribosomal RNA is filed under the name uncultured fungus. RNAcentral's name for it is "partial 18S ribosomal RNA". It matches the Rfam family "Eukaryotic small subunit ribosomal RNA", at positions 1323 to 1661 of the family's 1831-position model. The record is from RNAcentral. Lineage: Eukaryota; Fungi.
CCCCGAUAACGAACGAGACCUUAACCUGCUAAAUAGCCCGUAUUGCUUUGGCAGUACGCCGUUUUUUUGGGGGGACUAUCGGCCCAAGCCGAGGGAAGUUUGAGGCAAACACAGGUCUGAGAUCCCCUUAGAUUUUUUGGGGCGCACGCGCGCUACACUGACGGAGCCAGAGAGUACUUCCUUGGCCGAAAGGUCUGGGUAAUCUUGUGAAACUCCGUCGUGCUGGGGAUAGAGCAUUGCAAUUAUUGCUCUUCAACGAGGAAUUCCUAGUAAGCGCAAGUCAUCAGCUUGCGUUGAUUACGUCCCUGCCCCUUUAACCCCCCG